Long non-coding RNA from Sebastes umbrosus (honeycomb rockfish), 191 nucleotides. RefSeq lists it as uncharacterized. The transcript is spliced from 2 exons. The record is from RefSeq and is a predicted model, not a curated record. Lineage: Eukaryota; Metazoa; Chordata; Actinopteri; Perciformes; Sebastidae.
GAGUGUGUGAGUGUGUGAGUGUGUGUGUGUGUGUGUGUGUGUGUGUGUGUGUGUGUGUUGGGGGGGGGCAGUAGACGUUGACAGUGUGCACAAGUUGAGGACAGUCGCUCGUGUGUGACAUCGAGUAGCGAGGAGUGGGAUAAAACCGUGUGAUUCUGAAAAACGUUGAACAAGUGACCCUAACGCUACGA